Transfer RNA from Ovis aries (sheep), 72 nucleotides. It matches the Rfam family "tRNA". From Rfam's summary of the family: Transfer RNA (tRNA) molecules are approximately 80 nucleotides in length. Their secondary structure includes four short double-helical elements and three loops (D, anti-codon, and T loops). Further hydrogen bonds mediate the characteristic L-shaped molecular structure. tRNAs have two regions of fundamental functional importance: the anti-codon, which is responsible for specific mRNA codon recognition, and the 3' end, to which the tRNAs corresponding amino acid is attached (by aminoacyl-tRNA synthetases). tRNAs cope with the degeneracy of the genetic code in two manners: having more than one tRNA (with a specific anti-codon) for a particular amino acid; and 'wobble' base-pairing, i.e. permitting non-standard base-pairing at the 3rd anti-codon position. NCBI's taxonomy places the organism in Eukaryota, Metazoa, Chordata, Mammalia, Artiodactyla, Bovidae. The record is from Rfam.
UCCUUGGUAGCUCAGUUGGUAAAGAAUCUGCCUGCAAUGCAGAAGACCCAGGUUUGAUGCCUGGAUUGGGGA